UGGGGAAUAUUGGACAAUGGGCGAAAGCCUGAUCCAGCAAUGCCGCGUGAGUGAUGAAGGCCUUAGGGUUGUAAAGCUCUUUUACCCGGGAUGAUAAUGACAGUACCGGGAGAAUAAGCUCCGGCUAACUCCGUGCCAGCAGCCGCGGUAAUACGGAGGGAGCUAGCGUUGUUCGGAAUUACUGGGCGUAAAGCGCACGUAGGCGGCUACUCAAGUCAGAGGUGAAAGCCCAGGGCUCAACCUUGGAACAGCCUUUGAAACUAGGUAGCUAGAAUCUUGGAGAGGUCAGUGGAAUUCCGAGUGUAGAGGUGAAAUUCGUAGAUAUUCGGAAGAACACCAGUGGCGAAGGCGACUGACUGGACAAGUAUUGACGCUGAGGUGCGAAAGCGUGGGGAGCAAACAGG
RNAcentral lists this ribosomal RNA (404 nucleotides) under uncultured prokaryote. RNAcentral describes it as "bacterial SSU rRNA". It matches the Rfam family "Bacterial small subunit ribosomal RNA", at positions 355 to 776 of the family's 1533-position model. RNAcentral also lists the same sequence under 1 other name. The record is from RNAcentral.